AAAUCAAGCGCGAAAAGGGCGUUUGGUGAAUGCCUUGGCAGUAAGAGGCGAUGAAGGACGUGAUACUCUGCGAUAAGUCAUGGGGAGCUGAGAAUAAGCUUUGAUCCAUGAAUUUCCGAAUGGGGCAACCCACCUGAUACUGUGUUAUUACUGACCGCAAGGUCAGCUAAUAAUGCGGUAAACCAGGUACUUAUAGACUGAAUACAUAGGUUUAUAAGAGCAAACCCGGAGAACUGAAACAUCUAAGUACCCGGAGGAAAGGACAUCAAUUGAUACUCCCCUAGUAGCGGCGAGCGAACGGGGACCAGCCGAGCCUUGAAUGUGAAUAGAACGUGUUGGGAAGCACGGCCAUAGAGGGUGAUAGCCCCGUAUAUGAAGCACGAUAGGACGUAUUAAGUAGGGCGGGACACGUGAAAUCCUGUCUGAAGAUCGGAGGACCACCUUCGAAGGCUAAGUACUCCUUACUGACCGAUAGUGAACCAGUACCGUGAGGGAAAGGUGAAAAGCACCCCGACGAGGGGAGUGAAACAGUACCUGAAACCGAACGCCUACAAUCAGUCGGAGC
This 565-nucleotide ribosomal RNA is filed under the name Roseovarius nanhaiticus. RNAcentral describes it as "bacterial LSU rRNA". It matches the Rfam family "Bacterial large subunit ribosomal RNA", at positions 1 to 580 of the family's 2925-position model. The record is from RNAcentral. Lineage: Bacteria; Pseudomonadati; Pseudomonadota; Alphaproteobacteria; Rhodobacterales; Roseobacteraceae.